Molecule: ribosomal RNA, 465 nt
Filed under: uncultured Klebsiella sp.
Lineage: Bacteria; Pseudomonadati; Pseudomonadota; Gammaproteobacteria; Enterobacterales; Enterobacteriaceae
Description: bacterial SSU rRNA
Rfam family: Bacterial small subunit ribosomal RNA
Source: RNAcentral
CCUACGGGGGGCUGCAGUGGGGAAUAUUGCACAAUGGGCGCAAGCCUGAUGCAGCCAUGCCGCGUGUGUGAAGAAGGCCUUCGGGUUGUAAAGCACUUUCAGCGGGGAGGAAGGCGGUGAGGUUAAUAACCUCAUCGAUUGACGUUACCCGCAGAAGAAGCACCGGCUAACUCCGUGCCAGCAGCCGCGGUAAUACGGAGGGUGCAAGCGUUAAUCGGAAUUACUGGGCGUAAAGCGCACGCAGGCGGUCUGUCAAGUCGGAUGUGAAAUCCCCGGGCUCAACCUGGGAACUGCAUUCGAAACUGGCAGGCUAGAGUCUUGUAGAGGGGGGUAGAAUGCCAGGGGUAGCGGUGAAAUGCGUAGAGAUCUGGAGGAAUACCGGUGGCGAAGGCGGCCCCCUGGACAAAGACUGACGCUCAGGUGCGAAAGCGUGGGGAGCAAACAGGAUUAGAUACCCCUGUAGUC